Molecule: ribosomal RNA, 318 nt
Filed under: Bacillus sp. (in: firmicutes)
Lineage: Bacteria; Bacillati; Bacillota; Bacilli; Caryophanales; Bacillaceae
Description: bacterial SSU rRNA
Rfam family: Bacterial small subunit ribosomal RNA
Source: RNAcentral
ACUGCAGUCGAGCGAACUGAUUAGAAGCUUGCUUCUAUGACGUUAGCGGCGGACGCGGUGAGAAUAACACGUGGGCAACCUGCCUGUUAUAAGACUGGGAUAACUCCGGGACAUUAACGGAGCUAAUACCGGAUAACAUUUUUUCUUGCAUAAGAGAAAAUUGAAAGAUGGUUUCGGCUAUCACUUAAGAUGGGCCCGCGGUGCAUUAGCUAGUUGGUGAGGUAACGGCUCACCAAGGAACAACGAUGCAUAGCCGACCUGAGAGGGUGAUCGGCCACACUGGGACUGAGACACGGCCCAGACUCCUACGGGAGGCAG